This 1343-nucleotide ribosomal RNA is filed under the name uncultured bacterium. RNAcentral describes it as "16S ribosomal RNA". It matches the Rfam family "Bacterial small subunit ribosomal RNA", at positions 28 to 1378 of the family's 1533-position model. The record is from RNAcentral.
GACGAACGCUGGCGGCGUGCUUAACACAUGCAAGUCGAACGGAAAGGCCCUGCUUUUGUGGGGUGCUCGAGUGGCGAACGGGUGAGUAACACGUGAGUAACCUGCCCUUGACUUUGGGAUAACUUCAGGAAACUGGGGCUAAUACCGGAUAGGAGCUCCUGCUGCAUGGUGGGGGUUGGAAAGUUUCGGCGGUUGGGGAUGGACUCGCGGCUUAUCAGCUUGUUGGUGGGGUAGUGGCUUACCAAGGCUUUGACGGGUAGCCGGCCUGAGAGGGUGACCGGCCACAUUGGGACUGAGAUACGGCCCAGACUCCUACGGGAGGCAGCAGUGGGGAAUAUUGCACAAUGGGCGGAAGCCUGAUGCAGCAACGCCGCGUGCGGGAUGACGGCCUUCGGGUUGUAAACCGCUUUCGCCUGUGACGAAGCGUGAGUGACGGUAAUGGGUAAAGAAGCACCGGCUAACUACGUGCCAGCAGCCGCGGUGAUACGUAGGGUGCGAGCGUUGUCCGGAUUUAUUGGGCGUAAAGGGCUCGUAGGUGGUUGAUCGCGUCGGAAGUGUAAUCUUGGGGCUUAACCCUGAGCGUGCUUUCGAUACGGGUUGACUUGAGGAAGGUAGGGGAGAAUGGAAUUCCUGGUGGAGCGGUGGAAUGCGCAGAUAUCAGGAGGAACACCAGUGGCGAAGGCGGUUCUCUGGGCCUUUCCUGACGCUGAGGAGCGAAAGCGUGGGGAGCGAACAGGCUUAGAUACCCUGGUAGUCCACGCUGUAAACGGUGGGUACUAGGUGUGGGGUCCAUUCCACGGGUUCCGUGCCGUAGCUAACGCUUUAAGUACCCCGCCUGGGGAGUACGGCCGCAAGGCUAAAACUCAAAGGAAUUGACGGGGCCCCGCACAAGCGGCGGAGCAUGCGGAUUAAUUCGAUGCAACGCGUAGAACCUUACCUGGGUUUGACAUGGAUCGGGAGCGCUCAGAGAUGGGUGUGCCUCUUUUGGGGUCGGUUCACAGGUGGUGCAUGGCUGUCGUCAGCUCGUGUCGUGAGAUGCUGGGUUAAGUCCCGCAACGAGCGCAACCCUUGUUCACUGUUGCCAGCACGUUAUGGUGGGGACUCAGUGGAGACCGCCGGGGUCAACUCGGAGGAAGGUGGGGAUGACGUCAAGUCAUCAUGCCCCUUAUGUCCAGGGCUUCACGCAUGCUACAAUGGCUGGUACAGAGAGUGGCGAGCCUGUGAGGGUGAGCGAAUCUCGGAAAGCCGGUCUCAGUUCGGAUUGGGGUCUGCAACUCGACCUCAUGAAGUCGGAGUCGCUAGUAAUCGCAGAUCAGCAACGCUGCGGUGAAUACGUUCCCGGG